Molecule: ribosomal RNA, 549 nt
Filed under: Trichoderma koningiopsis
Lineage: Eukaryota; Fungi; Ascomycota; Sordariomycetes; Hypocreales; Hypocreaceae
Description: eukaryotic LSU rRNA
Rfam family: 5.8S ribosomal RNA (bases 168-321)
Source: RNAcentral
AAACCCAAUGUGAACCAUACCAAACUGUUGCCUCGGCGGGGUCACGCCCCGGGUGCGUCGCAGCCCCGGAACCAGGCGCCCGCCGGAGGGACCAACCAAACUCUUUCUGUAGUCCCCUCGCGGACGUUAUUUCUUACAGCUCUGAGCAAAAAUUCAAAAUGAAUCAAAACUUUCAACAACGGAUCUCUUGGUUCUGGCAUCGAUGAAGAACGCAGCGAAAUGCGAUAAGUAAUGUGAAUUGCAGAAUUCAGUGAAUCAUCGAAUCUUUGAACGCACAUUGCGCCCGCCAGUAUUCUGGCGGGCAUGCCUGUCCGAGCGUCAUUUCAACCCUCGAACCCCUCCGGGGGGUCGGCGUUGGGGAUCGGGAACCCCUAAGACGGGAUCCCGGCCCCGAAAUACAGUGGCGGUCUCGCCGCAGCCUCUCCUGCGCAGUAGUUUGCACAACUCGCACCGGGAGCGCGGCGCGUCCACGUCCGUAAAACACCCAACUUCUGAAAUGUUGACCUCGGAUCAGGUAGGAAUACCCGCUGAACUUAAGCAUAUCAAUAA